UUCGAAGCGCGGCGGAGGUGGAUUGAGAACCGCCGUCGUGGUUCGACAGGGACGCAGGAGCGGCCCUGAACGUAUCGCGUAGCGAUACGGCCCGGAGGGUGGAGGGCAGGAUGCCCGGAGUCAUCCACCUCCCUCCACCA
Regulatory RNA element from Dokdonella koreensis DS-123, 140 nucleotides. It matches the Rfam family "RtT RNA". From Rfam's summary of the family: This family represents a bacterial cis-regulatory element known as RtT RNA. The exact function of RtT is unknown although it is thought that it may be involved in changing the cellular response in relation to amino acid starvation. The record is from Rfam. Lineage: Bacteria; Pseudomonadati; Pseudomonadota; Gammaproteobacteria; Lysobacterales; Rhodanobacteraceae.